AAGUUCAUCACUUUUUUUUCUUCUAAAUCAUUCUUGAGAUUUCUAUUUUUUUCCGGUUGUUAGCAAUUGAAGAUUAUUGAAAGUUCUUGGUUCCACGGCUGUUUGACAUCCGCUUCUCUGUGCUUUCUCUGAUUAGACUGACUCUGGGUCUGUGAAUUAGAUUGUUCUCUCCUCAGUUAGGCAGUUGCAUCUUUGCGCUUAUGAUCUUAAAAAUGUCGAUUGAGACUAUCGAUCCUUUCUUUAUCAAAGCGUCGGUCUGUUCUUACGCCGAAUUUGGUCUUUUUUCAUCACGGUUGCUCUUCGUUGAGCUUUCUCCGGUGAUGGUGGUGAUGUCGCGACUCGGCGCGUAUCUCUUCUUCGUUACACGACUUAUACGUGGGACAGCUCUCGAGAUUGAUCAUUAUCUUCUUUUGGAGUUUCUUUUGUUUGGGCCUCUAUGGGAUACUUUGUAACUUUUAGAUUUUGUCCUAUAUGAGCUUUUGUAUGUACUGUUUUGGUUUAAUAAUAAAAAAAUAUAUAUAUAUAGAAAGAAAAAGAG
Molecule: long non-coding RNA, 538 nt
Filed under: Brassica rapa (field mustard)
Lineage: Eukaryota; Viridiplantae; Streptophyta; Magnoliopsida; Brassicales; Brassicaceae
Description: long non-coding RNA (BRAP_LNC002540)
Source: RNAcentral